AACGUAGGUGGCAAGCGUUGUCCGGAUUUACUGGGCGUAAAGAGCGCGCAGGCGGUCGUUCAAGUCGCGUGUGAAAGCCCCCGGCUCAACUGGGGAGGGUCACGCGAUACUGAUCGACUGGAAGGCAGGAGAGGGUAGUGGAAUUCCUGGUGUAGCGGUGAAAUGCGCAGAUAUCAGGAAGAACACCCGUGGCGAAAGCGGCUCUCUGGAACGGUACUGACGCUGAGACGCGAAAGCGUGGGGAGCGAACAGG
Molecule: ribosomal RNA, 253 nt
Filed under: uncultured bacterium
Lineage: Bacteria
Description: partial 16S ribosomal RNA
Rfam family: Bacterial small subunit ribosomal RNA
Source: RNAcentral